This 253-nucleotide ribosomal RNA is filed under the name uncultured bacterium. RNAcentral describes it as "partial 16S ribosomal RNA". It matches the Rfam family "Bacterial small subunit ribosomal RNA", at positions 524 to 776 of the family's 1533-position model. The record is from RNAcentral.
UACGGAGGGUGCAAACGUUGCUCGGAAUUAUUGGGCGUAAAGCGUUCGUAGGCGGUCCUGCAAGUCGGGUGUGAAAUCCCUCGGCUCAACCGAGGAAGAGCAUUCGAAACUAGAGGACUGGAGUACUGAAGAGGGUCGCGGAAUUCCGGGUGUAGAGGUGAAAUUCGUAGAUAUCGGGAGGAACACCAGUGGCGAAGGCGGCGACCUGGGCAGAUACUGACGCUGAGGAACGAAAGCGUGGGGAGCAAACAGG